RNAcentral lists this ribosomal RNA (445 nucleotides) under uncultured Chroococcales cyanobacterium. RNAcentral's name for it is "bacterial SSU rRNA". It matches the Rfam family "Bacterial small subunit ribosomal RNA", at positions 337 to 796 of the family's 1533-position model. Lineage: Bacteria; Bacillati; Cyanobacteriota; Cyanophyceae; Chroococcales. The record is from RNAcentral.
UCCUACGGGAGGCAGCAGUGGGGAAUUUUCCGCAAUGGGCGCAAGCCUGACGGAGCAAUACCGCGUGAGGGAGGAAGGCUCUUGGGUCGUAAACCUCUUUUCUCAGGGAAGAACACAAUGACGGUACCUGAGGAAUCAGCAUCGGCUAACUCCGUGCCAGCAGCCGCGGUAAUACGGAGGAUGCAAGCGUUAUCCGGAAUGAUUGGGCGUAAAGCGUCCGUAGGUGGUUAUGUAAGUCUGUGGUUAAAGCGUGGGGCUCAACCCCAUAAGGGCCAUGGAAACUACACAACUAGAGUCAAGUAGGGGUAGAGGGAAUUCCCAGUGUAGCGGUGAAAUGCGUAGAGAUUGGGAAGAACACCGGUGGCGAAAGCGCUCUACUGGACUUAAACUGACACUAAGGGACGAAAGCUAGGGGAGCGAAUGGGAUUAGAUACCCCUGUAGUCA